UUAAGUUGAAUAGUACAAGUAAAAUUGACUUUUACCUCGUAGCUAAGGUAUGACUCAGAUAUAAAAAAAAAAAAUCUUGAAAAAAAGAGUAUUUUUCAAUAUCCAAAAACAUGUUUUCCGAUAGAAAAAAUCUAAUAAUAAAACUAGUAAUUUACUUGCUACAUUCAGAAUCUAAAAUAUAUGAUAAUGCCCAUAUUUAAUUUUUGCAAAUGACUCCACUUAGAAUUGUUUUUGGUUUGCAGUAAUUUAUCAUCGCGUAAAGUGUAGAAAUAUAAACUAAAUACAUACA
Non-coding RNA from Cinara cedri, 289 nucleotides. The record is from the annotation of a GenBank genome assembly. Lineage: Eukaryota; Metazoa; Arthropoda; Insecta; Hemiptera; Aphididae.